UUCGCAGGGUUUUACAUGAUCAGCUCUGCUCUCUCCUUCUGUGAAGAAGUAACGGUCUAUGGGUUCUGGCCAUUCCGUACGGACAGAGGCGGGAGAGAAGUCAGGUAUCACUACUCGCAUAGUGAACAGCAUGAUGGGGGAAUGGAGAACGAGUGGCAUCGUAUGGACCGGGAGUUCGUCAAACUGGUGGAACUGUACAAGGAUGGGGUCAUCAGACUGGUCACGCAGCCCUGUAAUCAGACGCAGGAUAGUUAGCAGUGUUUUUCUUUAGUUUCGGACUGGUAGAAAAUGGACCUAAAGAGUAGCAAUCAUCCAUUGUCACACUGAACACAGACGGCGGAGUAAACAACACGUGGCAUCGCAUGGACCGGGAGUUCGUCAAACUGGUGGAGCUGUACAAGGAUCGAGUUAUCAAGCUGGUCACGCAGCCAUGUAACCAGACGCAGGAGAGUUAGGACCGGGAGUUCGUCAAACUGGUGGAGCUGUACAAGGAUAGAGUCAUCAAACUGGUCACGCAGCCAUGCAACCAGACUCGGGAGAGUUAGCAGUGUUUGUUUAGUUCUGGACUGUUAGUUUCUCGGAUGGACCGGGAGUUCGUCAAGCUGGUGGAGCUGUACAAGGAUGGAGUCAUCAAGCUGGUCACGCAGCCAUGUAACCAGACUCGUGAGAGUUAAGACCGGGAGUUCGUCAAGCUGGUGGAGCUGUACAAGGAUGGAGUCAUCAAGCUGGUCACGCAGCCAUGUAACCAGACUCGUGAGAGUUAAGACCGGGAGUUCGUCAAGCUGGUGGAGCUGUACAAGGAUGGAGUCAUCAAGCUGGUCACGCAGCCAUGUAACCAGACUCUGGAUAGCUAGCAGUGUUUUUCUUUAGUUUCGGACUGGUAGAAAAUGGACCUAAAGAGUAGCAAUCAUCCAUUGUCACACUGAACACAGACGGCGGAGUAAACAACACGUGGCAUCGCAUGGACCGGGAGUUCGUCAAACUGGUGGAGCUGUACAAGGAUGGGGUCAUCAAACUGGUCACGCAGCCUUGUAACCAGACUCGGGAGAGUUAGCAAUGUUUGUUUUAGUUCUGGACCGGGAGAAAAUAGACUCAUUCACGUAUAUAGUAGCGACCGUCCAUCGACCCAAGGCAUUACAUCUCAACAGCUUCCUGGAACAAUUUGUGACAAAUAAAUCUGAAAAAAAAAUGUUA
Molecule: long non-coding RNA, 1194 nt
Organism: Branchiostoma floridae (Florida lancelet)
Lineage: Eukaryota; Metazoa; Chordata; Leptocardii; Amphioxiformes; Branchiostomatidae
Exons: 2
Source: RefSeq, a predicted model, not a curated record